Odocoileus virginianus texanus is the source of this 999-nucleotide non-coding RNA. NCBI's taxonomy places the organism in Eukaryota, Metazoa, Chordata, Mammalia, Artiodactyla, Cervidae. The record is from RefSeq and is a predicted model, not a curated record.
GCACCUGUUUCAGAUGUCAGUGGUUAUAACUGAUCACUCCUGCUCUUGUUGAGACAAAAUGUCGGCUUCCUUGCUGUGAAGAUGGGGUUGCCUUGAGGAUUCAGCAGUAUCGUUUCUGUGUAUCUGGGGAAAUACCAAGCUUCUGAAACAGAGACCCCGUCAUACAGUGGCUUCAAUGAGAGCGGUUCCUCUCUCUCUCAUCCGAGCCUGGUCAGUGGACAGGCCUCACCAGGUCACUCCGGGACCCCCGUCCCCCAGAGAAGACAGGAGCCACUCACACAGAGGUGAUGGAUUCAGACAAUCCACCGGCCUGACUCCUGAGGAUCCUCACCCUGCAGGUCCUCAUCACGUGGAGUGAGAGGGAAACAGACUCAAAAGGCAGACACAGACAAUGAGCAAGGAAAACGGCUCUGGUGGAAUUUCUCUUCUGGAGUUUGUUUAUGUGAACCGUACAACUUGUUUACCAUGUGUAGACAGAUGCCUCUGGGAGAAAUCUAAAGAUGCACGUGUGUGUUUACAUGCAUCAUCCGUGCUAAGAAAGCAAACAGAUGCAGGCACCUCUCCCCUUGCUUUAUCUUCUAACUGGACAAAAAUAAAUAAGAACGAUUCCAUAGGAAACCAAAUAAUACUAUGGCUAAAAGGUUAAAUGUACCAAACUCCGUCGAGUCACCGAGAUAACUCGCGCCCCAUGUUUUUGCCACUGGACGUUGUGACGCUUAGCCUGCACACAGGUGCACGCCCAUUUCGGUGUCUCUACGUGCUGUCACAACAGGCUGCCUCACAUUUGCUGUUGAAACGUGUCCAGGAUGAUUUCGGUGUUUACACUUUGAGCCAUAACUUUGCAGGAAGUAUGCUUCCCCAAUUCCGUCCCCAAAUCUCUGCCCCAAAUUAAAAACAGUGGGGAAUUAGUACCGAAAUAGCGUGGGCACUGGCAUGAUCACAUCUACUCCAAAGUGCAGUGGGGGAGUCAAAAACAUUCGAUUCCUUAUUAACGAGACG